Molecule: ribosomal RNA, 2911 nt
Filed under: Pseudomonas syringae pv. actinidiae
Lineage: Bacteria; Pseudomonadati; Pseudomonadota; Gammaproteobacteria; Pseudomonadales; Pseudomonadaceae
Description: bacterial LSU rRNA
Rfam family: Bacterial large subunit ribosomal RNA
Source: RNAcentral
GUUAUAUGGUCAAGUGAAGAAGCGCAUACGGUGGAUGCCUUGGCAGUCAGAGGCGAUGAAAGACGUGGUAGCCUGCGAAAAGCUUCGGGAGUCGGCAAACAGACUGUGAUCCGGAGAUGUCUGAAUGGGGAACCCAGCCAUCACAAGAUGGUUAUCUUACGCUGAAUACAUAGGUGUAAGAGGCGAACCAGGGAACUGAAACAUCUAAGUACCCUGAGGAAAAGAAAUCAACCGAGAUUCCCUUAGUAGUGGCGAGCGAACGGGGACCAGCCCUUAAGUUGUAUUGAGAUUAGCGGAACGCUCUGGAAAGUGCGGCCAUAGUGGGUGAUAGCCCUGUACGCGAAAAUCCCUUUGCAAUGAAAUCGAGUAGGACGGGGCACGAGAAACCUUGUCUGAAUAUGGGGGGACCAUCCUCCAAGGCUAAAUACUACUGACUGACCGAUAGUGAACCAGUACCGUGAGGGAAAGGCGAAAAGAACCGCGGAGAGCGGAGUGAAAUAGAUCCUGAAACCGUAUGCGUACAAGCAGUGGGAGCCCACUUUGUUGGGUGACUGCGUACCUUUUGUAUAAUGGGUCAGCGACUUAUUUUCAGUGGCGAGCUUAACCGAAUAGGGGAGGCGUAGCGAAAGCGAGUCUUAAUAGGGCGUCUAGUCGCUGGGAAUAGACCCGAAACCGGGCGAUCUAUCCAUGGGCAGGUUGAAGGUUGGGUAACACUAACUGGAGGACCGAACCGACUACCGUUGAAAAGUUAGCGGAUGACCUGUGGAUCGGAGUGAAAGGCUAAUCAAGCUCGGAGAUAGCUGGUUCUCCUCGAAAGCUAUUUAGGUAGCGCCUCAUGUAUCACUGUAGGGGUAGAGCACUGUUUCGGCUAGGGGUCAUCCCGACUUACCAAACCGAUGCAAACUCCGAAUACCUACAAGUGCCGAGCAUGGGAGACACACGGCGGGUGCUAACGUCCGUCGUGAAAAGGGAAACAACCCAGACCGUCAGCUAAGGUCCCAAAGUCAUGGUUAAGUGGGAAACGAUGUGGGAAGGCUUAGACAGCUAGGAGGUUGGCUUAGAAGCAGCCACCCUUUAAAGAAAGCGUAAUAGCUCACUAGUCGAGUCGGCCUGCGCGGAAGAUGUAACGGGGCUCAAACCAUGCACCGAAGCUACGGGUAUCACCUUUGGUGAUGCGGUAGAGGAGCGUUCUGUAAGCCUGUGAAGGUGAGUUGAGAAGCUUGCUGGAGGUAUCAGAAGUGCGAAUGCUGACAUGAGUAACGACAAUGGGUGUGAAAAACACCCACGCCGAAAGACCAAGGUUUCCUGCGCAACGUUAAUCGACGCAGGGUUAGUCGGUCCCUAAGGCGAGGCUGAAAAGCGUAGUCGAUGGAAAACAGGUUAAUAUUCCUGUACUUCUGGUUAUUGCGAUGGAGGGACGGAGAAGGCUAGGCCAGCCUGGCGUUGGUAGUCCAGGUUUAAGGUGGUAGGCUGAGAUCUUAGGUAAAUCCGGGAUCUUAAGGCCGAGAGCUGAUGACGAGUGUUCUUUUAGAACAUGAAGUGGUUGAUGCCAUGCUUCCAAGAAAAGCUUCUAAGCUUCAGGUAACCAGGAACCGUACCCCAAACCGACACAGGUGGUUGGGUAGAGAAUACCAAGGCGCUUGAGAGAACUCGGGUGAAGGAACUAGGCAAAAUGGCACCGUAACUUCGGGAGAAGGUGCGCCGGUGAGGGUGAAGCAUUUACUGCGUAAGCCCACGCCGGUCGAAGAUACCAGGCCGCUGCGACUGUUUAUUAAAAACACAGCACUCUGCAAACACGAAAGUGGACGUAUAGGGUGUGACGCCUGCCCGGUGCCGGAAGGUUAAUUGAUGGGGUUAGCGCAAGCGAAGCUCUUGAUCGAAGCCCCGGUAAACGGCGGCCGUAACUAUAACGGUCCUAAGGUAGCGAAAUUCCUUGUCGGGUAAGUUCCGACCUGCACGAAUGGCGUAACGAUGGCGGCGCUGUCUCCACCCGAGACUCAGUGAAAUUGAAAUCGCUGUGAAGAUGCAGUGUAUCCGCGGCUAGACGGAAAGACCCGUGAACCUUUACUAUAGCUUUGCACUGGACUUUGAAUUUGCUUGUGUAGGAUAGGUGGGAGGCUUUGAAGCGUGGACGCCAGUCUGCGUGGAGCCAACCUUGAAAUACCACCCUGGCAACUUUGAGGUUCUAACUCAGGUCCGUUAUCCGGAUCGAGGACAGUGUAUGGUGGGUAGUUUGACUGGGGCGGUCUCCUCCUAAAGAGUAACGGAGGAGUACGAAGGUGCGCUCAGACCGGUCGGAAAUCGGUCGUAGAGUAUAAAGGCAAAAGCGCGCUUGACUGCGAGACAGACACGUCGAGCAGGUACGAAAGUAGGUCUUAGUGAUCCGGUGGUUCUGUAUGGAAGGGCCAUCGCUCAACGGAUAAAAGGUACUCCGGGGAUAACAGGCUGAUACCGCCCAAGAGUUCAUAUCGACGGCGGUGUUUGGCACCUCGAUGUCGGCUCAUCACAUCCUGGGGCUGAAGCCGGUCCCAAGGGUAUGGCUGUUCGCCAUUUAAAGUGGUACGCGAGCUGGGUUUAGAACGUCGUGAGACAGUUCGGUCCCUAUCUGCCGUGGACGUUUGAGAUUUGAGAGGGGCUGCUCCUAGUACGAGAGGACCGGAGUGGACGAACCUCUGGUGUUCCGGUUGUCACGCCAGUGGCAUUGCCGGGUAGCUAUGUUCGGAAAAGAUAACCGCUGAAAGCAUCUAAGCGGGAAACUUGCCUCAAGAUGAGAUCUCACUGGAACCUAGAGUUCCCUGAAGGGCCGUCGAAGACUACGACGUUGAUAGGUUGGGUGUGUAAGCGCUGUGAGGCGUUGAGCUAACCAAUACUAAUUGCCCGUGAGGCUUGACCAUAUAACACCCAAGCAAUU